CCUACGGGUAGCAGCAGUGGGGAAUAUUGGACAAUGGGCGAAAGCCUGAUCCAGCCAUGCCGCGUGUGUGAAGAAGGCCUUCGGGUUGUAAAGCACUUUCAGUGGGGAAGAAAGCCUUGGGGCUAAUACCCUCGAGGAAGGACAUCACCCACAGAAGAAGCACCGGCUAACUCCGUGCCAGCAGCCGCGGUAAUACGGAGGGUGCGAGCGUUAAUCGGAAUUACUGGGCGUAAAGCGCGCGUAGGCGGUCUGAUAAGCCGGUUGUGAAAGCCCCGGGCGCAACCUGGGAACGGCAUCCGGAACUGUCAGGCUAGAGUGCAGGAGAGGAAGGUAGAAUUCCCGGUGUAGCGGUGAAAUGCGUAGAGAUCGGGAGGAAUACCAGUGGCGAAGGCGGCCUUCUGGACUGACACUGACGCUGAGGUGCGAAAGCGUGGGUAGCAAACAGGAUUAGAUACCCGAGUAGUC
RNAcentral lists this ribosomal RNA (465 nucleotides) under Vreelandella stevensii. RNAcentral describes it as "partial 16S ribosomal RNA". It matches the Rfam family "Bacterial small subunit ribosomal RNA", at positions 338 to 795 of the family's 1533-position model. Lineage: Bacteria; Pseudomonadati; Pseudomonadota; Gammaproteobacteria; Oceanospirillales; Halomonadaceae. The record is from RNAcentral.